CAAUAGCGUAUAUUAAAGUUGUUGCGGUUAAAAAGCUCGUAGUUGGAUUUCUGCCGAGGACGACCGGUCCGCCCUCUGGGUGUGUAUCUGGUUUGGCCUGGGCAUCUUCUUGGAGAACGUAGCUGCACUUGACUGUGUGGUGCGGUGUCCAGGACUUUUACUUUGAGGAAAUUAGAGUGUUUCAAGCAGGCACACGCCUUGAAUACAUUAGCAUGGAAUAAUAAGAUAGGACCUCGGUUCUAUUUUGUUGGUUUCUAGAGCUGAGGUAAUGAUUAAUAGGGAUAGUUGGGGGCAUUCGUAUUUAACUGUCAGAGGUGAAAUUCAUGGAUUUGUUAAAGACGGACUACUGCGAAAGCAUUUGCCAAGGAUGUUUUCAUUGA
Molecule: ribosomal RNA, 380 nt
Filed under: uncultured eukaryote
Lineage: Eukaryota
Description: partial 18S ribosomal RNA
Rfam family: Eukaryotic small subunit ribosomal RNA
Source: RNAcentral